AGGUUCAUUUGUAUUACGUUAAUACACCAGUUCUCUUCCGAUCAUUGAAGUUAAGCAACGUUGAGCGUAGAUAGUACUUGGAUGGGUGGUUGCUUUGCAAACAUGUUUGAAACCUC
This 116-nucleotide ribosomal RNA is filed under the name Diaphorina citri (Asian citrus psyllid). The record is from RNAcentral. Lineage: Eukaryota; Metazoa; Arthropoda; Insecta; Hemiptera; Psyllidae.